UUCCGGUUGAUCCUGCCGGACCCCACUGCUAUCGGGAUAGGACUAAGACAUGCUAGUCGUGCGCUUCAGCCAAAACGAGGCGCGGCAUACAGCUCAGUAACACGUGGCUAAUCUGCCCUUAGGACGAGCACAACCCCGGGAAACUGGGGCUAAUUCUUGAUAGGUGAAGAACUCUGGAAUGAGUCUUCGCUUAAAAAGCUUCACGUUAUGCUCGUGAGGUCGCCUAAGGAUGAGGCCGCGACCGAUCAGGUUGUUGGUGAGGUAAUGGCUCACCAAGCCUUUUACCGGUGCGGGCCGUGAGAGCGGGAGCCCGGAGAUGGGCACUGAGACAAGGGCCCAGGCCCUACGGGGCGCAGCAGUCGCGAAAACUUUGCAAUACACGAAAGUGUGACAGGGCUAUCCCGAGUGCCUUCCGCUGAGGAAGGCUUUUACCUAGUAUAGUACGCUAGGGGAAUAAGGAGAGGGCAAGUCUGGUGUCAGCCGCCGCGGUAAUACCAGCUCUCCGAGUGGUGUGGAUGUUUAUUGGGCCUAAAGCAUCCGUAGCUGGCUAGGUCAGUCCUUUGUUAAAUCCACCGAAUUAAUCGUUGGAUUGCGGGGGAUACUGCUUGGCUAGGGGACGAGAGAGGCAGACGGUAUUUCCGGGGUAGGGGUGAAAUCCUAUAAUCCCGGGAAGACCACCAGUGGCGAAGGCUGUCUGCUAGAACGCGCCCGACGGUGAGGGAUGAAAGCUG
RNAcentral lists this ribosomal RNA (731 nucleotides) under uncultured crenarchaeote. Its description in RNAcentral is "bacterial SSU rRNA". It matches the Rfam family "Archaeal small subunit ribosomal RNA", at positions 1 to 713 of the family's 1478-position model. Lineage: Archaea; Thermoproteati; Thermoproteota. The record is from RNAcentral.